This 253-nucleotide ribosomal RNA is filed under the name uncultured bacterium. RNAcentral's name for it is "partial 16S ribosomal RNA". It matches the Rfam family "Bacterial small subunit ribosomal RNA", at positions 524 to 776 of the family's 1533-position model. The record is from RNAcentral.
UACGAAGGGGGCUAGCGUUGCUCGGAAUCACUGGGCGUAAAGCGCACGUAGGCGGCUUUUUAAGUCAGGGGUGAAAUCCUGGAGCUCAACUCCAGAACUGCCUUUGAUACUGAGAAGCUUGAGUCCGGGAGAGGUGAGUGGAACUGCGAGUGUAGAGGUGAAAUGCGCAGAUAUCGGGAAGAACACCCGUGGCGAAGGCGGCUCUCUGGGACGGUACUGACGCUGAGACGCGAAAGCGUGGGGAGCGAACAGG